GGUNAGCUCAGUGGUAGAAUGCUUGCCUAACAUGUACAAGGUCCUGGGUUCAAUCCCCAGUACCG
This 65-nucleotide transfer RNA is filed under the name Marmota monax (woodchuck). Its description in RNAcentral is "tRNA.Val". Lineage: Eukaryota; Metazoa; Chordata; Mammalia; Rodentia; Sciuridae. The record is from RNAcentral.